RNAcentral lists this long non-coding RNA (1508 nucleotides) under Homo sapiens (human). RNAcentral describes it as "non-protein coding lnc-ARF6-5:1". Lineage: Eukaryota; Metazoa; Chordata; Mammalia; Primates; Hominidae. The record is from RNAcentral.
AUUUGCUUCUUAACCUUCUGUCUUCAGUCCAUAGCCCACCAAUCCACUGAAACUAUUCUAGCUAAGGCUACGAUACCCAAGCCUCCUAAUUGGCAGGUCUAAGGGACCCUUUCUGACAUAGGUGAUGUAAUUUACCACCAAUCUCUGUCACUUGUGACUGCUGUUUCCUCCCUGAACGUUUCUUCUCCCUGGUUCUUGUUCACAGCCCCUGAUAUUUCCUCCCAGGCUCUCUCUUCUGCCCACCCAGCAAAUGUUUUUGUUCCUUACAGUUCCCUCCUAAAUGUUCUCUGUUCUCUCACCGUGUUCUUCAUGAGUGAUGUAAUAAAUUCUCAAGGCUCUCAAAUCUGUAGUUCCAAUCUGAUGCUGUUUCCAGAGCUUCAGAUUCACAUUUUUAGUUGCCUUCUGGAUGUCACCUUGAAAUCAUUCAAAACUUCAAAUUCAGUAUUUGCAAACAAAACUGAUCAUCUUCUCUUCUUCCUCCAAGCUUACCCAUUUUUUCUUUUUAUCAAUAUGUUUAUUUAUUUAUUUUUUGAGACAGAGUCUUGCUCCGUUGCCCAGGCUGGAGUGCAGUGGCACGAUCUCGGCUCACUGCAACCUCCGCUUCCUGGGUUCAAGUGAUUCUCCUGCCUCAGCCUCCUCAGUAGCUGGGAUUACAGGUGCCCACCACCGCACCCAGCUAAUUUUUGUAUUUUCAGUAAAGAUGGGGUUUCACAAUGUUGGCCAGGCUGGUCUUGAACUCCUGACCUCAUGAUCCACCUGCCUCGGCCUCCCAAAGUGCUGGGAUUACAGGCGUGAGCCACUGUGCCUGGCUCAUCAGUAUGUUUAGUUGCUCACUUCAGAACUCUCAGAGUCAUCCUUGACUACUAUUUCAUCCAUUCAAUACCAAAUACUUACUUUUUACUUAUCCAGUGACAGGCACUGUACUAGGUGGUAGAGAUGUGGUGGUGAAGAAAAGAGACAGAGUGGAAGAGACAGACAAAAACUUAGCAAAAAAAAUUAUAAUUUCAAACUGUGAUAAGUACCGGUGAAGGAAGCACAGUACUGAGAUAUGAACAAUGGUGGUAGGAAGCAGGUGGGGCACCUGCUUUUGAGAAUGUAGUCAGGUAAGCCUCUUUUAGGAGGUAUCAUUUAAAUUAGGGCCUGAAGAAUGAGGCAUCGGUUAAGGUACAUUGAAGCAAACAAGGACUGUCUGUAAACUGAAGUAAACGAACCUCUCUUUAGGAAAUUCAGAAGAAAGAAAAUUAUCUCGAGGAAGUUGGUCAGAAGAAAAUGGGCAGAUCAUGAAAUGUUAGUUGUCCCCCAAAGUCGGUUCUCCCCUUUUACAGUGCUAAUACAUUGCUACUUGGGCACAUGAAUCCCAGCUAGAGACCACAUUGCCUGAAUUUCCUUACAACCAAGUGUGGUCAAGUUCUCACUAAUGGAAUAUGAAUGAAAGUUGUAUGUGUCCUCUGCAUCACUUGCUUAAAAAGAAAUCGGUUGCCCUCUACUUUGGCCCUCUUGGCCUUUCC